UUGGUUCCAAAGAAGCUGUGCAGUUAAAAAAAAGAAGAAAAUAAUGCCACAAGUUGUGAUAUAUUAUAAUUAGAUAAGAUGCGGACGAGAAAAACCAAAAACUCUAGCAAAUUAUAGUCAUUGUGCAGUAGAAGAUACAAAGAGGAAGAUGUGUUAAAUUGCAUUUGUACUACUGGUGAAUUUUAUUGUACUCUUGGGAGGAAAUAUAAUCAAGAAAGUGGAGACAUUUAGUACUCUGUUUGGAUGUUCUCACCGGACUUGCAAGAUCUGAUGCCCAUCGGUUUACUUUUCUCACUGUGGUGCAACACUACAAAGAUACAUAGAAGUGCCGGUCAUCCAUUUUUGCUCGUGUCUUUGAUAG
Molecule: long non-coding RNA, 361 nt
Filed under: Olea europaea (common olive)
Lineage: Eukaryota; Viridiplantae; Streptophyta; Magnoliopsida; Lamiales; Oleaceae
Description: long non-coding RNA (OEUR_LNC003773)
Source: RNAcentral